This 497-nucleotide ribosomal RNA is filed under the name uncultured bacterium. RNAcentral describes it as "partial 16S ribosomal RNA". It matches the Rfam family "Bacterial small subunit ribosomal RNA", at positions 28 to 507 of the family's 1533-position model. The record is from RNAcentral.
GAUGAACGCUGGCGGCGUGCCUAAUACAUGCAAGUCGAGCGAACGGACGAGAAGCUUGCUUCUCUGAUGUUAGCGGCGGACGGGUGAGUAACACGUGGAUAACCUACCUAUAAGACUGGGAUAACUUCGGGAAACCGGAGCUAAUACCGGAUAGUAUUUUGAACCGCAUGGUUCAAAAGUGAAAGACGGUCUUGCUGUCACUUAUAGAUGGAUCCGCGCUGCAUUAGCUAGUUGAUAAGGUAACGGCUUACCAAGGCAACGAUGCAUAGCCGACCUGAGAGGGUGAUCGGCCACACUGGAACUGAGACACGGUCCAGACUCCUACGGGAGGCAGCAGUAGGGAAUCUUCCGCAAUGGGCGAAAGCCUGACGGAGCAACGCCGCGUGAGUGAUGAAGGUCUUCGGAUCGUAAAACUCUGUUAUUAGGGAAGAACAUAUGUGUAAGUAACUGUGCACAUCUUGACGGUACCUAAUCAGAAAGCCACGGCUAACUACGUG